UACGUAGGGAGCGAGCGUUGUCCGGAAUUACUGGGCGUAAAGGGCGCGUAGGCCGUGUUUCAAGUCAACUGUAAAAUCCCGGAGCUUACCUUCGGUUCGCAGUUGAAACUGAAACGCUAGAGGCACAGAGAGGCAGACAGAAUUCCUGGUGUAGCGGUGAAAUGCGUAGAUAUCAGGAAGAAUACCAGUGGCGAAGGCGGUCUGCUGGCUGUGAACUGACGCUGAAGCGCGAAAGCCAGGGGAGC
This 245-nucleotide ribosomal RNA is filed under the name uncultured Pyramidobacter sp. RNAcentral's name for it is "partial 16S ribosomal RNA". It matches the Rfam family "Bacterial small subunit ribosomal RNA", at positions 524 to 769 of the family's 1533-position model. Lineage: Bacteria; Thermotogati; Synergistota; Synergistia; Synergistales; Dethiosulfovibrionaceae. The record is from RNAcentral.